UGGAAAACAACCAUCCUUUUCCCCUGAUUAUGAUGACCUCCCCACUCUCGCAUCAGUCUGUGACGAGAGGUGAUCCAGUUCCUGUUUGCUCUUACUUCUCUUCAUCUUUGCUUUAACCCUUGAUUUCGCCAUAAGCGUCUGCACUGUAUUUAGAAAGUUCCCCACUGCCAUCACAACCAGUAACAGCCCACAAAAUAUCACCUGCCAUUCAGCGACAAAACCAACAACAGCUGUGCGUAGUAGCAGCAUCCCAACAUAUGCUUCAAA
This 267-nucleotide unclassified non-coding RNA is filed under the name Hevea brasiliensis (rubber tree). The record is from RNAcentral. Lineage: Eukaryota; Viridiplantae; Streptophyta; Magnoliopsida; Malpighiales; Euphorbiaceae.